This 207-nucleotide long non-coding RNA is filed under the name Capsicum annuum. RNAcentral describes it as "long non-coding RNA (CANN_LNC008506)". The record is from RNAcentral. Lineage: Eukaryota; Viridiplantae; Streptophyta; Magnoliopsida; Solanales; Solanaceae.
CACCCCAUAGCUGCUUUAUAUUUUUAUUAACAACCAAUCCCAAUUUAAAGGAAGUUAAGCCAUAACUUAUAUCAAAUUAAUGAAAACUAAUCCUAAUGUGCUUUAACACAGACCCUUCCCCUUACAAAUAGCCUCAGAAUCAACUAUGACAUUCAAAAGUAUCAUCUAAACGUUACAAGAAAUCUAUUGAUACCUAUAUUGCCCAUA